AGUGGGUGUAACGUACCUACUAGCCUACGACGGGUACGGGUUGUGAGAGCAAGAGCCCGGAGAUGGAUUCUGAGACACGAAUCCAGGCCCUACGGGGUGCAGCAGGCGCGAAAACUUUACAAUGCGGGAAACCGUGAUAAGGGAAUCUCGAGUGCCAGCAUAUAAUGUUGGCUGUCCAGAUGCCUAAAAAGCAUCUGUUAGCAAGGGCCGGGCAAGACCGGUGCCAGCCGCCGCGGUAACACCGGCGGCCCGAGUGGUAACCGUUAUUAUUGGGUCUAAAGGGUCUGUAGCCGGCCAUGUAAGUCCCUUGGGAAAUCUGGCAGCUCAACUGUCAGGCUGCCAGGAGAUACUGUCUGGCUCGAGGCCGGGAGAGGUGAGAGGUACUUCAGGGGUAGGGGUGAAAUCUUGUAAUCCUUGAAGGACCACCAGUGGCGAAGGCGUCUCACCAGAACGGACCUGACGGCAAGGGACGAAAGCUAGGGGCACGAACCGGAUUAGAU
Molecule: ribosomal RNA, 500 nt
Filed under: uncultured microorganism
Description: bacterial SSU rRNA
Rfam family: Archaeal small subunit ribosomal RNA
Source: RNAcentral